Molecule: ribosomal RNA, 424 nt
Filed under: uncultured bacterium
Lineage: Bacteria
Description: partial 16S ribosomal RNA
Rfam family: Bacterial small subunit ribosomal RNA
Source: RNAcentral
AAUUUUUGACCAUGGGGGGAACCCCGAUCCAGCCAUGCCACGGUUGUGAAGAAGGUCUUUGUAUUGUAAAACACUUUAUGAUGGGAGGAAGAGUUGUAGGCUAAUACCUUGCAAUUUUGACGUUACUAACUGAAUAAGCACCGGCUAACUUCGUGCCAGCACCCGCGGUAAUACGAAGGGUGCAAGCGUUAAUCGGAAUUACUGUGGGUAAAGCGGGCGUAGGUGGUACGUUAAGUUGGAAGUGAAAGCCCCGGGCUUAACCUGAGAAUUGCGUUCAAAACUGACGAGCUAGAGUACGGUAGAGGGUAGUGGAAUUUCCUGUGUAGCGGUGAAAUGCGUAGAUAUAGGAAGGAACAUCAGUGGCGAAGGCGACUACCUGGACUGAUACUGACACUGAGGUGCGAAAGCGUGGGGAGCAAACAGG